UGGGGAAUUUUGGACAAUGGGCGAAAGCCUGAUCCAGCAAUGCCGCGUGCAGGAUGAAGGCCCUCGGGUUGUAAACUGCUUUUGUACGGAACGAAAAACCUGAGGCUAAUAUCCUCGGGUCAUGACGGUACCGUAAGAAUAAGCACCGGCUAACUACGUGCCAGCAGCCGCGGUAAUACGUAGGGUGCAAGCGUUAAUCGGAAUUACUGGGCGUAAAGCGUGCGCAGGCGGUUUUGUAAGACAGUGGUGAAAUCCCCGGGCUCAACCUGGGAACUGCCAUUGUGACUGCAAGGCUGGAGUGCGGCAGAGGGGGAUGGAAUUCCGCGUGUAGCAGUGAAAUGCGUAGAUAUGCGGAGGAACACCGAUGGCGAAGGCAAUCCCCUGGGCCUGCACUGACGCUCAUGCACGAAAGCGUGGGGAGCAAACAGG
This 429-nucleotide ribosomal RNA is filed under the name uncultured bacterium. RNAcentral's name for it is "bacterial SSU rRNA". It matches the Rfam family "Bacterial small subunit ribosomal RNA", at positions 355 to 776 of the family's 1533-position model. The record is from RNAcentral.